CCUACGGGAGGCAGCAGUGAGGAAUAUUGGUCAAUGGACGAGAGUCUGAACCAGCCAAGUAGCGUGAAGGAUGACUGCCCUAUGGGUUGUAAACUUCUUUUAUAUGGGAAUAAAACGUUCCACGUGUGGGAUUUUGUAUGUACCCUAUGGAUAAGGAUCGGCGAACUCCGUUCCCGCAGCCGCGGUAAUACGGAGGAUCCGAGCGGUAUCCGGAUUUAAUGGGUUUAAAGGGAUCGUAGGGGGAAUGUUAAGUCAGUUGGGAAAGUUUCCGGGCCAACCGUAACAUUGCAGUUGAAACUGGCAGUCUUGAGUACAGUAGAGGUGGGCGGAAUUCGUGGUGUAGCGGUGAAAUGCUUAGAUAUCACGAAGAACUCCGAUUGCGAAGGCAGUUCACUGGACUGCAACUGACACUGAGGCUCGAAAGUGUGGGUAUCAAACAGGAUUAGAUACCCUAGUAGUC
Molecule: ribosomal RNA, 460 nt
Filed under: uncultured bacterium
Lineage: Bacteria
Description: partial 16S ribosomal RNA
Rfam family: Bacterial small subunit ribosomal RNA
Source: RNAcentral